CCCUUAGAUGUUCUGGGCUGCACGCGCGCUACACUGACGCACUCAGCGAGUUCCUGUACCGAGAGGUUCGGGUAAUCAUGUGAGCGUGUGUCGUGAUGGGGAUAGAAUAUUGUAAUUAUUGCUCUUCAACGAGGAAUUCCUAGUAAGCACAAGUCAGCAGCUUGCGCUGAUUACGUCCCUGCCCUUUGUACACACCGCCCGUCGCUCCUACCGAUUGGGUGAUCCGGUGAAUGACUCGGACUUUGACGUUCCUAGACACUAGGUUCGUCGAGGGAAGUUUUGUGAACCUUAUCACUUGGAGGAAGGAGAAGUCGUANCA
This 319-nucleotide ribosomal RNA is filed under the name uncultured eukaryote. Its description in RNAcentral is "partial 18S ribosomal RNA". It matches the Rfam family "Eukaryotic small subunit ribosomal RNA", at positions 1470 to 1796 of the family's 1831-position model. The record is from RNAcentral.